AAAAGUCGUAACAAGGUCUCCGUAGGUGAACCUGCGGAGGGAUCAUUACACAAAUAUGAAGGCGGGCUGGAACCUCUCGGGGUUACAGCCUUGCUGAAUUAUUCACCCUUGUCUUUUGCGUACUUCUUGUUUCCUUGGUGGGUUCGCCCACCACUAGGACAAACAUAAACCUUUUGUAAUUGCAAUCAGCGUCAGUAACAAAUUAAUAAUUACAACUUUCAACAACGGAUCUCUUGGUUCUGGCAUCGAUGAAGAACGCAGCGAAAUGCGAUAAGUAGUGUGAAUUGCAGAAUUCAGUGAAUCAUCGAAUCUUUGAACGCACAUUGCGCCCUUUGGUAUUCCAAAGGGCAUGCCUGUUCGAGCGUCAUUUGUACCCUCAAGCUUUGCUUGGUGUUGGGCGUCUUGUCUCUAGCUUUGCUGGAGACUCGCCUUAAAGUAAUUGGCAGCCGGCCUACUGGUUUCGGAGCGCAGCACAAGUCGCACUCUCUAUCAGCAAAGGUCUAGCAUCCAUUAAGCCUUUUUUUCAACUUUUGACC
Molecule: ribosomal RNA, 536 nt
Filed under: Alternaria tenuissima
Lineage: Eukaryota; Fungi; Ascomycota; Dothideomycetes; Pleosporales; Pleosporaceae
Description: eukaryotic LSU rRNA
Rfam family: 5.8S ribosomal RNA (bases 214-367)
Source: RNAcentral